CACUUCGGUGAGAGUGGCAGACGGGUGAGUAACGCGUGGGAAUUUACCCAGCUCUACGGAACAACUCAGGGAAACUUGAGCUAAUACCGUAUACGCCCUUUUGGGGAAAGAUUUAUCGGAGUUGGAUGAGCCCGCGUUUGAUUAGCUAGUUGGUGGGGUAAUGGCCUACCAAGGCGACGAUCAAUAGCUGGUCUGAGAGGAUGAUCAGCCACACUGGGACUGAGACACGGCCCAG
RNAcentral lists this ribosomal RNA (235 nucleotides) under uncultured bacterium. RNAcentral describes it as "partial 16S ribosomal RNA". It matches the Rfam family "Bacterial small subunit ribosomal RNA", at positions 76 to 334 of the family's 1533-position model. The record is from RNAcentral.